GCCUGGGUGGCUCAGUGGUUGAGCAUCAUGAUCCCAAGGUUGUGGGAUCAAGUCCCUCAUCAGGCU
RNAcentral lists this transfer RNA (66 nucleotides) under Canis lupus familiaris (dog). It matches the Rfam family "tRNA". From Rfam's summary of the family: Transfer RNA (tRNA) molecules are approximately 80 nucleotides in length. Their secondary structure includes four short double-helical elements and three loops (D, anti-codon, and T loops). Lineage: Eukaryota; Metazoa; Chordata; Mammalia; Carnivora; Canidae. The record is from Rfam by way of RNAcentral. RNAcentral also lists the same sequence under 1 other name.